RNAcentral lists this ribosomal RNA (1335 nucleotides) under uncultured bacterium. Its description in RNAcentral is "16S ribosomal RNA". It matches the Rfam family "Bacterial small subunit ribosomal RNA", at positions 34 to 1390 of the family's 1533-position model. The record is from RNAcentral.
CGCUGGCGGCGCGCCUAACACAUGCAAGUCGAACGAGAGAUGAGGAGCUUGCUCUUCAAAUCGAGUGGCGAACGGGUGAGUAACGCGUGAGGAACCUGCCUCAAAGAGGGGGACAACAGUUGGAAACGACUGCUAAUACCGCAUAAGCCCACAGCUCGGCAUCGAGCAGAGGGAAAAGGAGCAAUCCGCUUUGAGAUGGCCUCGCGUCCGAUUAGCUAGUUGGUGAGGUAACGGCCCACCAAGGCAACGAUCGGUAGCCGGACUGAGAGGUUGAACGGCCACAUUGGGACUGAGACACGGCCCAGACUCCUACGGGAGGCAGCAGUGGGGAAUAUUGCACAAUGGGGGAAACCCUGAUGCAGCGACGCCGCGUGGAGGAAGAAGGUCUUCGGAUUGUAAACUCCUGUUGUUGAGGAAGAUAAUGACGGUACUCAACAAGGAAGUGACGGCUAACUACGUGCCAGCAGCCGCGGUAAAACGUAGGUCACAAGCGUUGUCCGGAAUUACUGGGUGUAAAGGGAGCGCAGGCGGGAGAACAAGUUGGAAGUGAAAUCCAUGGGCUCAACCCAUGAACUGCUUUCAAAACUGUUUUUCUUGAGUAGUGCAGAGGUAGGCGGAAUUCCCGGUGUAGCGGUGGAAUGCGUAGAUAUCGGGAGGAACACCAGUGGCGAAGGCGGCCUACUGGGCACCAACUGACGCUGAGGCUCGAAAGUGUGGGUAGCAAACAGGAUUAGAUACCCUGGUAGUCCACACCGUAAACGAUGAUUACUAGGUGUUGGAGGAUUGACCCCUUCAGUGCCGCAGUUAACACAAUAAGUAAUCCACCUGGGGAGUACGACCGCAAGGUUGAAACUCAAAGGAAUUGACGGGGGCCCGCACAAGCAGUGGAGUAUGUGGUUUAAUUCGACGCAACGCGAAGAACCUUACCAAGUCUUGACAUCCCUUGACGAACAUAGAAAUAUGUUUUCUCUUCGGAGCAAGGAGACAGGUGGUGCAUGGUUGUCGUCAGCUCGUGUCGUGAGAUGUUGGGUUAAGUCCCGCAACGAGCGCAACCCUUAUGGUCAGUUACUACGCAAGAGGACUCUGGCCAGACUGCCGUUGACAAAACGGAGGAAGGUGGGGAUGACGUCAAAUCAUCAUGCCCUUUAUGACUUGGGCUACACACGUACUACAAUGGCGUUAAACAAAGAGAAGCAAGACCGCGAGGUGGAGCAAAACUCAGAAACAACGUCCCAGUUCGGACUGCAGGCUGCAACUCGCCUGCACGAAGUCGGAAUUGCUAGUAAUCGUGGAUCAGCAUGCCACGGUGAAUACGUUCCCGGGCCUUGUACACAC